Molecule: ribosomal RNA, 492 nt
Filed under: uncultured bacterium
Lineage: Bacteria
Description: partial 16S ribosomal RNA
Rfam family: Bacterial small subunit ribosomal RNA
Source: RNAcentral
AGUGAACGCUGGCGGUAGGCCUAACACAUGCAAGUCGAACGGCAGCACAGUAAGAGCUCGCUCUUACGGGUGGCGAGUGGCGGACGGGUGAGGAAUACAUCGGAAUCUACUUUUUCGUGGGGGAUAACGUAGGGAAACUUACGCUAAUACCGCAUACGACCUACGGGUGAAAGCAGGGGAUCUUCGGACCUUGCGCGACUGAAUGAGCCGAUGUCGGAUUAGCUAGUUGGCGGGGUAAAGGCCCACCAAGGCGACGAUCCGUAGCUGGUCUGAGAGGAUGAUCAGCCACACUGGAACUGAGACACGGUCCAGACUCCUACGGGAGGCAGCAGUGGGGAAUAUUGGACAAUGGGCGCAAGCCUGAUCCAGCCAUACCGCGUGGGUGAAGAAGGCCUUCGGGUUGUAAAGCCCUUUUGUUGGGAAAGAAAAGCAGCAGGUUAAUACCCCGCUGUUCUGACGGUACCCAAAGAAUAAGCACCGGCUAACUUCGUG